AAGCUUAGUUCUUUGUGAUGCAAAGCCAGUUCUGGGUUGAGGGUAGAUUCUAGGGAGGGGUCUUAGGCCACAUUCUGAUAAGACCCAAGAAGCAGCCAUUAACGACCCAGAAGCUGAAAAUGCAAGAUUCCACCCACAGCCAGUCUAUGGACUACAAAAAGAAGAAAAUGAAAGAACCUAGAAAUUGGAAAGGAGAGGAAGAGAUAACACAAGUAUUUCUCUCCCCCACUUCCAGCUACUGAAUUCUCAACCUGUGCUUUUUGUUGC
Molecule: unclassified non-coding RNA, 267 nt
Filed under: Hevea brasiliensis (rubber tree)
Lineage: Eukaryota; Viridiplantae; Streptophyta; Magnoliopsida; Malpighiales; Euphorbiaceae
Source: RNAcentral